Molecule: long non-coding RNA, 572 nt
Organism: Aquila chrysaetos chrysaetos
Lineage: Eukaryota; Metazoa; Chordata; Aves; Accipitriformes; Accipitridae
Exons: 2
Source: RefSeq, a predicted model, not a curated record
UUCAGACUGGCCAAAACCUUCAGUUGCUUUCUGACCCGGCCGACUUUGCUACCGUUGCUGCCUUUCCCUGCCCGCUCUGCAUGGCCCCCCAGUUCGGCACACUCGGUCCCACCGGGAGAGGCACCCCGACCAGAGGUGAAAGCCCUCGGGUGUGUGGGAGGAAGAGCCGCGUCUUGGGCUGCUUCGUAACGCGGUGCUGUCUGGGGUGACGGGUCCUUGUGCCCCAGUGCCGCAGGCGCCCGCCAUCCCUGGGGAGGAGAAGAAACCUGAAGCCCUUCUUGGAUUAUUUUCAUCCUUUUGCCCUUCUGGUCCUGAAGAAAGCAGUAACAGCCCAAACCUUCCCAUCACCCACGCACAGAGGAGAGGAGGGAUUGAGAUACAGAGGAUUAGGUCUGGCCUUUCCAGAAAUGGCCCUUAUUUUUGCAGGUACAAACGUUAAUGGUUAGAGUCAUGCUCCUGCCCAGGAGACAGCUGUACUUCUGCAGGCUUGGGUUUGGAGGAAAAGGAGUGGUAUGCUUUCUGGAGGGUGCAAAAAUAAAAAUAACCCCGCCGUUGGGUUGCUGUGGCCGCUU